GUGAGCAUUACUGAGUCUCUCCAAGCAAGGUUGAGCAAUUCCCCUGGAGUGGCCUCAUGCAGAAACAGGCAUUGCAACAAUGGAGGAAAAGAGAAACGAGAAAUACAAAAUACGGAAAAGAGAAAUACAAUGGAGGUGAAGAAUAACUGGAAAAGAAGAUCUACACAGAGGCACAGAUCUUCAAAGAUCCACAGGAGAAUUGGAAAGUCCAUUUAGUUACAAGUCUGGACUCAGAGAGGUCACAAGCUUCAGCAAGUGAGCAACAAAUUUCCCCAACUUCCAGCUCCCCAGCCUCAGCUCCAUCCUGACUGCUUCCUGUAGUGGUUGUCUCAUUGUCACCAGAGGCUGAUAUCUCCAUGUCUGCAGUAGCAGGGAUUCUUCUCGCCAGAAGGCUGCCUGCCUAGGCCGUGGCUAUAGUUCUGUCCCUGAUGCAGAGUAGAGCGAGUGGCUGGGCCAGGAGGACAUUCAACGGCUAGACUCGUGAGCACAGAAAACUGAGUCCAAUGCCUACCGCUCCCAACUGUGAGUCAGAUCUACUGGGAUGAGGAGAGGCAGGAUGAUAAUUGAGGAAGGAAUAAAAAUAUGUCUUCUGUUUGUUCUGAGAAUUAGGUUGAGUUUUUCCCUCCAAGGUUGCAUUCACACUGCUGCUCAUUUUUGGGAAUGUUCAUACAGUCAUGCAUCUUAAACAGAAAAUGUACUUUUUGCAAUGCUAACCAGACUAGAUAGUAUUAUGAUUUACAAAUAGGUUAUAGCGGGAACUGAUGGUGCAGAAUAUUGGAUUAUGGGAACAACUGCAACUCUCCUUUUCAAGGUGCUUGUAUGCAAAUGUACACAUGGGUGAUAGAGGCUAACAUCAUGGGCUGAUCAGAGGUUGGAGUCAACAUUUUGACAGUAAUUGGGAGAUGACAGGUAGGAUGUGGAUAGGCCAUAAAGGGCCCUGAAAGUGAAGCCAAGCAUCUUAUGUUUGGUGCAAUAGAACAGGGGAGCUAGUGGAGGGAUUCAAAGAAAGGGGGGUUGUACACAUACAAUAGUCUGCAAAAAUCUCAUGGUAAAACAGUUCUCCCAAUUCCCACAAUGAAACAUAAACAGGUACAGCGAUUUUCCUUUCUCCUCCUCAGGGACAUCACUGUCAUGUCACCCAGCUAUAAGUCCACUAGCACUCAGUUCCCAGUUCCUUUCUGUCCUUGUUCUCAGGCCCCUACCCCCACCCCGCCAUCCACCUGAGAGUGACCAGCAGUCUCAUGACUCUUUGGCCCAAAAUAUAGUCCAACAACUCGGCCCUUUUCAGCAUCCUGGCGCUGGCUCUCCAGCUCAAGAAGGUCAGCAAACUAUCCCCUCCACUGGGCUUGUAGACCUUCUUCCCCAUUCCCAGAGAGGGACUGCAUAGUUUUCAUCUCCCCCAGGUUCCCUGUUUCUCCCAGGUAGCACUCUCCUUUCUUUGCUCUCAAUCUAUGCUUUCAGGCAGCUCUCUCCUGUCUUCCCUAUAUGUUGCCCAACUGACUUCUUUUCACCCCAACUGGGAGGCAGCUAAUCAGUUAUAGGUGCAAUGGACCCUAUUCCCUCUCAAAGGGGCCAGUCACCCUGUGACAGGGGUGACAUGGUCAAAGUGACAGGAUGCUCUUUGCAGCUGCAUUGUGAAUGGAUAUAAGCUUGCAUCUGUCAAGACUAGAAAGGAUGUCGCAGUAAUUAAAAUGUGAGGAUGUAGGAGCAGGAUUUUAUAUUUGUACUAUAAGAAAAAACAUAUGAUUUGAUUUCAUCCUGCCAGCCACCCUUUUUGAAUAGCAGAAAAGAAUGACCCUCUG
Molecule: long non-coding RNA, 1802 nt
Organism: Chelonia mydas (Green sea turtle)
Lineage: Eukaryota; Metazoa; Chordata; Testudines; Cheloniidae
Exons: 3
Source: RefSeq, a predicted model, not a curated record